CCAAAAUGUGUAACGUCACUUUGGGCCGCAGCCUGAAAUAGCGACCUGAACAGUGAACAAGAUGUGAGAUAACGUUAUUCGCUGUGGACAAGCUUGGCGUUG
This is a long non-coding RNA of Etheostoma cragini (Arkansas darter), 102 nucleotides long. RefSeq lists it as uncharacterized. The transcript has 3 exons. NCBI's taxonomy places the organism in Eukaryota, Metazoa, Chordata, Actinopteri, Perciformes, Percidae. The record is from RefSeq and is a predicted model, not a curated record.